Molecule: long non-coding RNA, 346 nt
Filed under: Homo sapiens (human)
Lineage: Eukaryota; Metazoa; Chordata; Mammalia; Primates; Hominidae
Description: LHRI_LNC1442.1
Source: RNAcentral
CUUCAGGGGAGCACAACCUAGGCACCCCCCACACCCCAGUCCUCUCUCCUCACAGCAGACUGACUGUGCAGAACCAAGUUUACUCUUUAGCUCACAGGCUGGCUCCCAUGCCCUCCCACAGAAACACGGAAUAUUAUCCUAGUUCCCACAAACACCUCGAAACAGUGGACAAGUCAUUUUUCUUGCUGUUUUACUGCAACAGCUGUGGCCCGCUCCUGGCAUUUCAAGUGCCAUGCAUGGGCCUGAGAUGACAAAUUCAACAAGCAAGUGAGAAAGGGAAUGGCAAACCAGGAGUGAGAAGAUGGAUUUCAUGCUUUAGCAAGACAUGAGGGCUUGCAGGGUUUUU